AUCUCUUGUAGGGCUAGAAUUGGGUCCGGGCUGGCCCAAGACUUAGGCCAGCCCAAGGCCUAUCAAGAUAGGCCGACUUUGAAUUGGGCUUUGGGCUCGGUCUGAAAAAAAUUGGAUCAGAAUUGGGCUGACAUUAAGAGCCCAUUUAAUUUUCGGGCCGGGCUCAGAUGUACCUUUGGCCUGGCCCCAGCCCGAUCCAAACUCGAGCCC
This 210-nucleotide long non-coding RNA is filed under the name Elaeis guineensis (African oil palm). Its description in RNAcentral is "long non-coding RNA (EGUI_LNC048205)". Lineage: Eukaryota; Viridiplantae; Streptophyta; Magnoliopsida; Arecales; Arecaceae. The record is from RNAcentral.